RNAcentral lists this ribosomal RNA (90 nucleotides) under Cucurbita moschata (crookneck pumpkin). RNAcentral also lists the same sequence under 1 other name. Lineage: Eukaryota; Viridiplantae; Streptophyta; Magnoliopsida; Cucurbitales; Cucurbitaceae. The record is from RNAcentral.
GAUCCCAUCAGAACUCCGCAGUUAAGUGUGCUUGGGCGAGAGUAGUACUAAGUUGGGUGACCACUUGGGAAGUCCUCGUGUUGCACCCCU